CGCGACGCUGGCGGCGUGCCUAAUCAUGCAAGUCGAGCGAAUGAAAGAGAAGCUUGCUUCUCUGGAUUUAGCGGCGGACGGGUGAGUAACACGUGGGCAACCUACCUUAUAGAUGGGGAUAACUCCGGGAAACCGGGGCUAAUACCGAAUAACUCCAAGCACCUCCUGGUGCUUGGCUGAAAGACGGUUUCGGCUGUCACUAUAAGAUGGGCCCGCGGCGCAUUAGCUAGUUGGUAAGGUAACGGCUUACCAAGGCAACGAUGCGUAGCCGACCUGAGAGGGUGAUCGGCCACACUGGGACUGAGACACGGCCCAGACUCCUACGGGAGGCAGCAGUAGGGAAUCUUCCACAAUGGACGAAAGUCUGAUGGAGCAACGCCGCGUGAGUGAAGAAGGUUUUCGGAUCGUAAAACUCUGUUGUAAGGGAAGAACAAGUACAGUAGUAACUGGCUGUACCUUGACGGUACCUUAUUAGAAAGCCACGGCUAACUACGUGCCAGCAGCCGCGGUAAUACGUAGGUGGCAAGCGUUGUCCGGAAUUAUUGGGCGUAAAGCGCGCGCAGGCGGUCCUUUAAGUCUGAUGUGAAAGCCCACGGCUCAACCGUGGAAGGUCAUUGGAAACUGGGGGACUUGAGUGCAGAAGANGUUAGUGGAAUUCCAAGUGUAGCGGUGAAAUGCGUAGAGAUUUGGAGGAACACCAGUGGCGAAGGCGACUAACUGGUCUGUAACUGACGCUGANGCGCGAAAGCGUGGGGAGCAACAGGAUUANAUACCUGGUAGUCCCGCCGUAACGAUGAGUGCUAANUGUUAGGGGNUUCCNCCCUUAAUGCUGCANUA
This 837-nucleotide ribosomal RNA is filed under the name Lysinibacillus sphaericus. RNAcentral describes it as "bacterial SSU rRNA". It matches the Rfam family "Bacterial small subunit ribosomal RNA", at positions 30 to 853 of the family's 1533-position model. Lineage: Bacteria; Bacillati; Bacillota; Bacilli; Caryophanales; Bacillaceae. The record is from RNAcentral.